Molecule: ribosomal RNA, 413 nt
Filed under: uncultured microorganism
Description: bacterial SSU rRNA
Rfam family: Archaeal small subunit ribosomal RNA
Source: RNAcentral
GCUCAGCAGUCGAGAAACCUUCGCAAUGCGGGAAACCGCGACGAGGGGACUCCCAGUGCCUACGCUCAGCGUAGGCUGUUCCCGAGCCUAGAAAGCUCGGGGAGUAAGGGCUGGGUAAGACGGGUGCCAGCCGCCGCGGUAAUACCCGCAGCCCGAGUGGUGGCCACUAUUAUUGGGCCUAAAGCGUCCGUAGCCGGCCCGGUAAAUGCCUGGGUAAAUCGUGAGGCCUAACCUCACGAAUUCCGGGUAGACUGCCGGGCUAGGGACCGGAGGAGGGAGAGGGUACUCCAGGGGUAGGGGUGAAAUCCUGUAAUCCCUGGAGGACCACCGGUGGCGAAGGCGCUCUCCUAGGACGGGUCCGACGGUGAGGGACGAAAGCCAGGGGAGCGAACCGGAUUAGAUACCCCUGUAGU